Hermetia illucens (black soldier fly) is the source of this 79-nucleotide small nucleolar RNA. RefSeq annotates it as small nucleolar RNA Me28S-Cm3227. The record is from RefSeq and is a predicted model, not a curated record. Lineage: Eukaryota; Metazoa; Arthropoda; Insecta; Diptera; Stratiomyidae. The transcript has a single exon.
UAUCUUAUGAUGACAAUUUUAAUCCGAGAAACUCGUGCGGAUGACCAAACAAAUUAAACCAAAAGGAUUCUGAGAAUUA